AUUCUAUCUACAGCUGCUGACGUUUCCAGUUACCAUGCAGGAAGACAGGUAGGAGGAGAUCAUCAUAUGGAUUCUGGCAAAGAGAUUUGCAGAGUGUCGGGUGACCGGCAAAGAGAUCUGCAAAGUGUCAGUUGAAGACGACGGGAGGGGUCGCAGAGGCAGCAAGGACUGGAGUAUAACAUGCAGAAGUGGGUGAUGCCUGAGUUUCCUGGGAGGAGAGCCUGCGGACACCUGCUCCAAAUGUUGGGACUUAUGUAUUACCUAUGAGGAGAUGCAGUAAAGAUG
Pseudophryne corroboree (corroboree frog) is the source of this 285-nucleotide long non-coding RNA. RefSeq lists it as uncharacterized. The transcript is spliced from 3 exons. NCBI's taxonomy places the organism in Eukaryota, Metazoa, Chordata, Amphibia, Anura, Myobatrachidae. The record is from RefSeq and is a predicted model, not a curated record.